This is a long non-coding RNA of Melopsittacus undulatus (budgerigar), 1384 nucleotides long. RefSeq lists it as uncharacterized. Lineage: Eukaryota; Metazoa; Chordata; Aves; Psittaciformes; Psittaculidae. The record is from RefSeq and is a predicted model, not a curated record. The transcript is spliced from 3 exons.
GCGAGCCGGGUGGAGUGGGGUCAGAGCCCAGCUCAGGGGCGCUCGGGCGGGUGUUGGGGGUGCCCCAGGCUCCGCUUCCCCCGCGGAAACCGCUGUUCCCUCAGGCGGCUUUAAAGCUCUGCUCCUGUAUGCUGCCUGCUAACCUGACAUAGGAAAAUGCUCCCGGUAUACACCAGGGUAUCAUCCUGUACAAACUCUUCAGGCUCUGUGGAGGUACCUUGAAGACUGAGAAACUGAUUCACACUUUCCCAAACCAUUCUUGUUUGAGCCAAGGAGGAGGAAAACCUCCCACUGUUUCCAAAUAUCAUGAGCACCAGGACAGCAUGGGUUCUAGUGGAAGGGGUGGAGAUGUGUUCCUGUGGGACAACAAACACCCACCCAUGGACCUUGCCUUCUCCUGCUGAAGACUCAUGCACUGGGAAACAGGAUAGUGUUGGACUGGCUUCUACAACACCUGCAGUAACCCAUCAGAGUUCUCACACAGGCCAUGCUCAUCCAGACAUCAGUGCGUCAGGGUUGCUUCUCUCCUGAUGGCACCAGAAAUCCUCCUGCACUGCAUGGCCACUUACAAAGGGAGACACUGCAGCUGACCAGACCUGUUCAGAGUGAGCUGCUUUUCUACACUGGAAAGACUUCAGCAAUCCUGCUCGAGACUGUUGCUGUGAGAUCUGCAUGAGCACUUGUUGCUCUGAAUGUCUGCACCCAGGGAUGGAGGUAACCUCUGGGCCCAUCACUGCUGGAGGCUGCAGAUGCCAAAGGUUGCAUGGGUUAACAGCAAAAAAAGAAGCCAUUAGGAAAACUCAUGGAAAAAAGAAAACACCAAUAGGAAUUAAAUGCAAAGAUAUGAGCUCCAGGGAAGGUCACUUGUCUAGGUGUAUACUGUGUUCUGUGCUUAUGCUGUUUGCUGCAGGUAGAAGCCAGGUUCUGGCUUGGUGUAGUCCACAUGGCUUGUGACCCUGAACUCCCUGUCUCUCAUGGAGCACGCAGUGAGCAGCUUCUGGCCUGUGGUGGUGUUCAUACAUUCUGAAGUGUGAAUGGGAGCACACAGGCCAGCGGAGGUGGGUACGUUGGUGACUCCAUUCUGAUGUGACCCUGAGCCUCUGACACCAGCCACCUCAGGUGCUGCCUGAUGCUGAGUUGGAGUCUGAGCCUCAUGGAGGAUGGAGAAGAGCACUGGCCAAAGACAAAUAUCCUAUUUCUCUUAGAGUUGUUGGUAAAGUGUACAACACUGCUGCUGUAGUACUCGCAGGUAGAAGCUAAAAUGCUGCUGAGUCUUUGCUUAUUAGAGAAAGUUCAAACAUGUAUUCCAUACUCCUCCUCCCUGGGGAGGGGGUUUGACUGGCUGUAGGGACAGGACAAAGGGGAAUGGCUUUAACCUGACAGA